Molecule: small RNA, 186 nt
Filed under: Arabidopsis thaliana (thale cress)
Lineage: Eukaryota; Viridiplantae; Streptophyta; Magnoliopsida; Brassicales; Brassicaceae
Description: ATSL284140
Source: RNAcentral
AUAUAGAAAAUAUUUACAGAAUACUUUAUUUUUUCAUUCCAUCGACACAUUAAGAUUACGUAGUAUCUGAAUUUCGUUACAUAGGAAUAUAUAGGAUACAAUCGGUAAUUACCUUGUCUAAUGUCUCGCGUCUCUUGGACAGCUAUGACCUAAAUAAUUGACAUGACAAAGAGUAAUAACCUCAAU